GACGAACGCUGGCGGCGUGCUUAACACAUGCAAGUCGAGCGGUAAGGCCCUUUCGGGGGUACACGAGCGGCGAACGGGUGAGUAACACGUGGGUGACCUGCCCUCAGCUCUGGGAUAAGCCUGGGAAACCGGGUCUAAUACUGGAUAUGACUCCAUGACGCAUGUUGUGGGGUGGAAAGCCUUGUGCGGCUGAGGAUGGGCCCGCGGCCUAUCAGCUUGUUGGUGGGGUGAUGGCCUACCAAGGCGACGACGGGUAGCCGGCCUGAGAGGGCGACCGGCCACACUGGGACUGAGACACGGCCCAGACUCCUACGGGAAGCAGCAGUGGGGAAUUGUUCGCAAUGGGCGCAAGCCUGACGACGCAACGCCGCGUGGAGGAUGAAGGUCUUCGGAUUGUAAACUCCUGUUGCUCGGGACGAAAUGCUCCAGCCUAACACGUUGGAGUUUGACGGUACCGGGUGAGGAAGCCCCGGCUAACUCUGUGCCAGCCGCCGCCGUAAU
RNAcentral lists this ribosomal RNA (501 nucleotides) under uncultured bacterium. RNAcentral describes it as "bacterial SSU rRNA". It matches the Rfam family "Bacterial small subunit ribosomal RNA", at positions 28 to 524 of the family's 1533-position model. The record is from RNAcentral.